UACGGAGGAUGCAAGCGUUAUCCGGAUUUAUUGGGUUUAAAGGGUGCGUAGGCGGGAAAAUAAGUCAGUGGUGAAAUCCUACAGCUUAACUGUAGAAUUGCCGUUGAUACUGUUUUCUUGAGUAUGGUCAAGGAAGGCGGAAUGUGUAAUGUAGCGGUGAAAUGCUUAGAUAUUACACAGAACACCAAUUGCGAAGGCAGCUUUCUGGCCCAUUACUGACGCUGAGGCACGAAAGCGUGGGGAUCGAACAGGAUUAGAUACCCCCGUACGU
This 271-nucleotide ribosomal RNA is filed under the name uncultured prokaryote. RNAcentral describes it as "partial 16S ribosomal RNA". It matches the Rfam family "Bacterial small subunit ribosomal RNA", at positions 524 to 794 of the family's 1533-position model. The record is from RNAcentral.